UACGGAGGAUGCGAGCGUUAUCCGGAUUUAUUGGGUUUAAAGGGUGCGUAGGCGGACUGUCAAGUCAGCGGUAAAAUUGAGAGGCUCAACCUCUUCCCGCCGUUGAAACUGGUGGUCUUGAGUGGAUGAGAAGUACGCGGAAUGCGUGGCGUAGCGGUGAAAUGCAUAGAUAUCACGCAGAACUCCGAUUGCGAAGGCAGCGUACCGGCAUCCAACUGACGCUGAGGCACGAAAGCGUGGGGAGCGAACAGG
RNAcentral lists this ribosomal RNA (252 nucleotides) under uncultured bacterium. Its description in RNAcentral is "partial 16S ribosomal RNA". It matches the Rfam family "Bacterial small subunit ribosomal RNA", at positions 524 to 776 of the family's 1533-position model. The record is from RNAcentral.